This 441-nucleotide ribosomal RNA is filed under the name uncultured bacterium. Its description in RNAcentral is "partial 16S ribosomal RNA". It matches the Rfam family "Bacterial small subunit ribosomal RNA", at positions 338 to 795 of the family's 1533-position model. The record is from RNAcentral.
CCUACGGGAGGCAGCAGUGGGGAAUAUUGCACAAUGGGGGAAACCCUGAUGCAGCGACGCCGCGUGAGUGAAGAAGUAUUUCGGUAUGUAAAGCUCUAUCAGCAGGGAAGAAGAAAGACGGUACCUGACCAAGAAGCCCCGGCUAACUACGUGCCAGCAGCGACGGUAGUACGUAGGGGGCAAGCGUUAUCCGGAUUGAAUGGGUGUAAAGGAAGCGUAGACGGCUGUGCAUGUAUGAAGUGAAAGCCCAGGGCACAACCCUGGGACUGCUUUGGAAGGUGUGGAGCUAGAGUGCUGGAGAGGUAAGUGGAAUUCCUAGUGUAGCGGUGAAAUGCGUAGAUAUUAGGAGGAACACCAGUGGCGAAGGCGGCUUACUGGACAGUAACUGACGUUGAGGCUCGAAAGCGUGGGGAGCAAACAGGAUUAGAUACCCCAGUAGUC